Unclassified non-coding RNA from Cavia porcellus (domestic guinea pig), 208 nucleotides. Its record names the gene 7SK. It matches the Rfam family "7SK RNA". From Rfam's summary of the family: 7SK was discovered as an abundant small nuclear RNA in the mid-70s but a possible function has only recently been suggested. Two independent studies have found that 7SK RNA binds the CDK9/cyclin T complex (known as elongation factor P-TEFb). The record is from Ensembl. NCBI's taxonomy places the organism in Eukaryota, Metazoa, Chordata, Mammalia, Rodentia, Caviidae.
UGUAAGGGUGAUCUGGCUGUAGCAUUUGUCACCCCACCGACUGCCAAGGUAUAUGUGUCCCUCCCAAAGCUGCAUGCUCGGUGAAAGAGGAUGACCACCCCGGUGGAGGAGGCCCAUUUCCACUGUCAAGGGUAUACUAGUAGCUGCUGUACUAGUAAACUUCCAAACAAGCUCUCAAGGUUGAUUUACUUGGAUAUAAUUUUUUGGG